RNAcentral lists this ribosomal RNA (846 nucleotides) under uncultured bacterium. Its description in RNAcentral is "bacterial SSU rRNA". It matches the Rfam family "Bacterial small subunit ribosomal RNA", at positions 60 to 919 of the family's 1533-position model. The record is from RNAcentral.
AGUCGAACGAGAGAGAAGGAGCUUGCUUCUUCGAUCGAGUGGCGAACGGGUGAGUAACGCGUGAGGAACCUGCCUCAAAGAGGGGGACAACAGUUGGAAACGACUGCUAAUACCGCAUAAGCCCACGGGUCGGCAUCGACCUGAGGGAAAAGGAGCAAUCCGCUUUGAGAUGGCCUCGCGUCCGAUUAGCUAGUUGGUGAGGUAACGGCCCACCAAGGCGACGAUCGGUAGCCGGACUGAGAGGUUGAACGGCCACAUUGGAACUGAGACACGGCCCAGACUCCUACGGGAGGCAGCAGUGGGGAAUAUUGCACAAUGGGGGAAACCCUGAUGCAGCGACGCCGCGUGGAGGAAGAAGGUCUUCGGAUUGUAAACUCCUGUUGUUGAGGAAGAUAAUGACGGUACUCAACAAGGAAGUGACGGCUAACUACGUGCCAGCAGCCGCGGUAAAACGUAGGUCACAAGCGUUGUCCGGAAUUACUGGGUGUAAAGGGAGCGCAGGCGGGAAGACAAGUUGGAAGUGAAAUCUAUGGGCUCAACCCAUAAACUGCUUUCAAAACUGUUUUUCUUGAGUAGUGCAGAGGUAGGCGGAAUUCCCGGUGUAGCGGUGGAAUGCGUAGAUAUCGGGAGGAACACCAGUGGCGAAGGCGGCCUACUGGGCACCAACUGACGCUGAGGCUCGAAAGUGUGGGUAGCAAACAGGAUUAGAUACCCUGGUAGUCCACACCGUAAACGAUGAUUACUAGGUGUUGGAGGAUUGACCCCUUCAGUGCCGCAGUUAACACAAUAAGUAAUCCACCUGGGGAGUACGACCGCAAGGUUGAAACUCAAAGGAAUUGACGGGGG